AUUGAACGCUGGCGGCAUGCCUUACACAUGCAAGUCGAACGGCAGCACGGGAGCAAUCCUGGUGGCGAGUGGCGAACGGGUGAGUAAUAUAUCGGAACGUGCCCGGUCGUGGGGGAUAACGUAGCGAAAGCUACGCUAAUACCGCAUACGAUCUACGGAUGAAAGCGGGGGAUCGCAAGACCUCGCGCGAUUGGAGCGGCCGAUAUCAGAUUAGGUAGUUGGUGAGGUAAAGGCUCACCAAGCCGACGAUCUGUAGCUGGUCUGAGAGGACGACCAGCCACACUGGGACUGAGACACGGCCCAGACUCCUACGGGAGGCAGCAGUGGGGAAUUUUGGACAAUGGGCGCAAGCCUGAUCCAGCAAUGCGCGUGCAGGAUGAAGGCCUCGGUUGUAAC
This 396-nucleotide ribosomal RNA is filed under the name uncultured bacterium. Its description in RNAcentral is "bacterial SSU rRNA". It matches the Rfam family "Bacterial small subunit ribosomal RNA", at positions 30 to 429 of the family's 1533-position model. The record is from RNAcentral.